This 1198-nucleotide long non-coding RNA is filed under the name Gadus morhua (Atlantic cod). RNAcentral's name for it is "lncRNA (ENSGMOG00000028198.1)". The record is from RNAcentral. Lineage: Eukaryota; Metazoa; Chordata; Actinopteri; Gadiformes; Gadidae.
GAAGUUCUCAACUACGCCCUGAAUGGGCGUAGUUAAGGCAACGCCUGCCAAGGGCUGCACUCUUUCUGAAUAAUAGCCGUUGGGCGUUUCACUCAAUACUUUAAGAAACAUUGCAUCCUCACUGACUCAAAGGACACCCGCAGCUCCAACAACACGAGCCAUCAGAGAACCAGCAAGAUCAUCCAGACAUGUUUGGAAAUAAUAAUGCAGGUAGCUGCCAUCCAUCUGGUUAUGACCUGGGGCCCGUGCCAGGGGCCGACCCAUGCCCAGGGGGCGAUCAGGAGGGCCUCGACUUGAGCUUACUUGAUUUUGGAAACGAUGGAAAAAAAGGCGACCGUCAGUGUGACAACCGUGGGUCUGAAGACGACGCCCGGGACAAAGGCCGUUGCCAUGAUGAUGACCGCCGGGAAAGAGACGGUCACCGCGGCGACAAGGACUGCGAUUCCGGUGAUCGUGACGCCGGCCGUCGCCGCGACGAUGAAUGCCGUGAAAAGGGUGGUCGCCGCGACGACAAGCACUGCGAUUCCGGUGAUCGUGACGGCGGCCGUCGCCGCGACGAUGACUGCCGUGAAAAGGGUGGUCGCCGCGACGACAAGCACUGCGAUUCCGGUGAUCGUGAUGCCGACCGUCGCCGCGACGAUGACUGCCGGGACAAAGAGGAUCGCCAUGGCGAUAGAGGAGGCAGAUGCAGCCCCAAACAGCGUGAUGGGAGCCACGAGCGCCACCGCAAAAACAGCAAGAGUCCGGACCACCGUCGCCGAGGCAGUAAAAGCCCUCGCCGUCGCCGAGGCAGCAACAGCCCUCGCCGUCGCCAUGGUAGCGGCCAUGGUAGCGGCCAUGGUAGCGGCAGCGGCAGCGGCAGCGGCAGUAGUGGCAGUGAGAGCGACGGCAACCACGGGCGCAGACGUAAGCACAAGGGCCACAAGCAUGGGCAUGGGCACGGGCACGGGCACGGGCAUGGGGGUGGUAGGGGAAAGGGCCAUGGUCAUAAGCACUGCUAGAUGUUCCUCAUGAGUCCGAUCUACAGAACGCACAUUUGCACCAAACUAGAUGGUACAUACAUACAGUAAUGGAUGAUUGUAUGCAGAGUAGUUAUGUGGUUAUGUUACACCUUCCUAUUGGAUGAUGUCCUGAGGAAAAUUGUAACUGAAUGACAAUAAUAAUAAAGUCAUAAUCUCACAAUGCAUCAUCUCUUUUU